GUAGCUUGUUUGAAUCUAACCUACUUUACACAGUUCUCAAACGAGAGCUUACUUUGGAAGUAUAUUUAUAUUCGGUUAUAGCUAUAUUAGCAGGGUUGAUUUUUUUCUUAGGUAUAAUUAACCUCAAUUUACUCAAUUUUCUUUGUAAUAUAUAUACUAGUAGUAACAUGGAUAUCGUUUUUGGGGACCUUUAUAGUUUGUUGUUCAGUGUGAGCCAAUGCUCCGUGUUGAAGACCGUACUUCGGUCUAUGAUGGUUUACUUUUACGAAUAGUGACUUAUAGAUGGAGAGUUUUCUUAUUGGCACUCAUACCACAUCUUCUUAUAUUAUUCUGCUCAUUAUUAGUCAUUGAUAUGAUCUAAUUAUUCAAGCAUUUUACUUUGCAAUGAC
RNAcentral lists this long non-coding RNA (389 nucleotides) under Mytilus galloprovincialis (Mediterranean mussel). The record is from RNAcentral. Lineage: Eukaryota; Metazoa; Mollusca; Bivalvia; Mytilida; Mytilidae.